RNAcentral lists this long non-coding RNA (1312 nucleotides) under Lathyrus oleraceus (garden pea). RNAcentral describes it as "Pisum sativum (pea) long non-coding RNA (PSAT_LNC037954)". Lineage: Eukaryota; Viridiplantae; Streptophyta; Magnoliopsida; Fabales; Fabaceae. The record is from RNAcentral.
AUAUUUGCAUUAAUGUCUGCAUGCAUCAUACUAUCAUAUUGUUGCCGUCCUCUGUACAGGUGGUUCCUCUGUUUUGGGGUGGGAGUCAGUUGAGGUAAAAGGUCCAAUACCCAGACCAUGAGUGAAAAUCUAGGGUGAUUAGGAAUAGAGUGAUUCAUGGGAAGCGGGUGGUAUGGCGCCACUUAGCGGAACAUUGAUAUCACGAGCAGUUCAGACCCUGGUAGGAUAUGAUCGUUACAUACUUCGGGUGUGUAUAUGAUGGUAUUCUGCGAAAGGUUAUUUAUGCUGUGUUUCUCUCGACCUUACCCUGGCCUAGAUGACACCCGUGAGUGGGGAGGGAAUGAUCUUUAUUACAGGUACAGAUGGUGACUCAGGUGGUGACUAAUGGUUCCGUGGAUCAGAGUCCUAUUUAUAAGUCGGAUUUAUGGUCAUUUAUUGCCGUGACGCCGGAGUGCUGUCCGAUAUUUAUCAGUGGGGAUCCGUUUAUUUCAGGAUUCCCCGGGCCGAGUUACUUAUCAGUGGGGAUCCGUUUAUUUCAGGAUUCCCUGGGCCGAUUCAGAUGGUGAUGGUGUGUCUGCUCAGAGACCAGUGAUGAUGAUGAUGGUGUAUCUGUCUUCCGUUUAUUUCGGAACCCUUGAGGUGGAUUUGUGGUUACAUAUUCCUCAGAUGGUUAUGAUCAGUUCAGAAAUCAAGGCUGUGACUCAGUACAGAGGAUCAGAUGACUUGGAGGAUGGCACAGUGCAUUGCAUUCAUCUGCAUCAUUCUCAUUUUGCAUUCAUCUGCACCUAACCUACGUCUAGCCAUAUGGGGGAGUAUUAUUGAUUGAGAAUCUGGUUGAGAGACAUCCUGAUGUCAGAAUGCUAUUUUCAAAAAUUUUAUCUGUCUCGAUGAAACCAGAAUCAAAAGACAGAAGCUUCCUCAUAUGGAUAGACGUUGCAUUCAUGCAUAUUAACCCGUUUGCUGUUUUGCAGGAAUCAUUGCUCGCGCUCGUAGAGUCAUCCCUUUGCACUUAACCCGACCUCACAGAUAUUACACCAGGCAACAAAUCCAAACUGAUGGAUCCGUCCAACGCUGACAUUCUCGAGCUGAAAGAGAAGAUGGGAGAGCUGAUCAAUGUCAUGCAAGAGUUCGCCUUGGGGCAGAAAGUACUUGCCGAAAAGGUGAGGAGGAUUGAAGACUGGCUGGAGAUGGGGAACAUGCAAGGAAAUGCUUCGUCAUCUGGACUGAAGAAAUCCUUUGGUAAUAACCAGCGCAAGGAUGAGGGUGAAUCGAGUGCUGUGCACGCCCAGAGGGGGCACGGUAGGGGUCGUUA